RNAcentral lists this long non-coding RNA (1170 nucleotides) under Dromaius novaehollandiae (emu). Its description in RNAcentral is "lncRNA (ENSDNVG00000003882.1)". The record is from RNAcentral. Lineage: Eukaryota; Metazoa; Chordata; Aves; Casuariiformes; Dromaiidae.
UGUGUCCCGGUGUCCUCGGCGGAGGGGAAAAAAAAAACCCGGCAAUUAAAGCGUACCACGCUCCGAGCGCUUGGCAGUGCCUUCCCUUUUGUCUGACUCACUGAGCCGGACUUAAUCGUCACUGGGAAAUGCCCGGGUUUGAUCCGUGUUCUCCAUUUUUAUUCCGUCUUGCCACUUCACCCGGAGCACUGUGCUAUAGAGGCGUAGGGCUGAAACACCCUUGCUGCAUAUCUCUCUUUUUUUGUGAGGGGCCCUCUUUUCUAGGGGACCAUGUUGAGAUAAAUAAGUAUUUGGGUCACCUAGCCAAUUCAGUCCUACCAUUGACGCAGUUCCCAGGUUUUAUUAUCGAUUUAAGUAUACUUCGGAUUUUUGUUCCAUAUGCUAUAUUAAAACCUGGAAUUAACAGGCAUACGUGUUUCAGCGUAGAUCACUUGAUUACCGUGUUCCAGUUUUAUUGCCCUUGGGAAUCAAGGAUUUGGUUGCUAUAUCAGUUCUUCUACUAACCUUGCUUUGCAGAGGUUAACCACCAGUGAAGGUGAGAUAUUUUUAUUCCUGCAUUUUGCAGUCGAUGAGAGACAGGGUUAGAUUGUCUGCCUUUGGGAGACUUGCUAUAACUUUUUUAAGACAAAGGAUUUAAUUGGCUUUUUGGAAACGCRUAGGCUGUGUAAAUGAAUGUGUUUAACAGUCUGAAGUUGCUUGUUUUAUUUUUCUUGAGAGAGUAAGAUCAAGUCUGAACUUAUUUCAGAAAUGCUCUUUGACUCUGAAGGCCUGUUGUACAUGUUAUUGCCAGUUAAUAUUCAGUAUCAAGUUUCAUGUGCAGUUUAACCAGAGUUGAGGGCCUUGUUUUGGAAACUACUUCUAAAGAUAGGAAUACAGAUUAAAAUUGACUGUUGCCCAUACUUCAAUGAUCUUUAUUCUUCUGUUUAACRAAUGCAUUUUGAAAGUAGGAACUGCUUAUAAUUAAUGGAAUUAGCAUCAAAAUGAUGCAUCACUGGAAAAAGUGGAAUUCUGUUGGAGUUUGAAAAAAUAAGCUAUGUUAAUUACCAGAAUUGUGUAGUAGAUAACAACUUCAUCUUGCUUAUUCUUCAUCUAGCUUUUUUUUUUUCCCCCACUCUGUAAGCGCUCAGAGGUGGUAAUAAAGCUUUUGUUUGCUGUUAAAUUGGACUUGGU